RNAcentral lists this ribosomal RNA (427 nucleotides) under uncultured bacterium. RNAcentral describes it as "partial 16S ribosomal RNA". It matches the Rfam family "Bacterial small subunit ribosomal RNA", at positions 355 to 774 of the family's 1533-position model. The record is from RNAcentral.
UGGGGAAUAUUGCACAAUGGGCGCAAGCCUGAUGCAGCCAUGCCGCGUGUAUGAAGAAGGCCUUCGGGUUGUAAAGUACUUUCAGCGGGGAGGAAGGCGAUGUGGUUAAUAACCGCGUCGAUUGACGUUACCCGCAGAAGAAGCACCGGCUAACUCCGUGCCAGCAGCCGCGGUAAUACGGAGGGUGCAAGCGUUAAUCGGAAUUACUGGGCGUAAAGCGCACGCAGGCGGUCUGUCAAUUCGGAUGUGAAAUCCCCGGGCUCAACCUGGGAACUGCAUCCGAAACUGGCAGGCUUGAGUCUCGUAGAGGGGGGUAGAAUUCCAGGUGUAGCGGUGAAAUGCGUAGAGAUCUGGAGGAAUACCGGUGGCGAAGGCGGCCCCCUGGACGAAGACUGACGCUCAGGUGCGAAAGCGUGGGGAGCAAACA